This 117-nucleotide ribosomal RNA is filed under the name Pteropus alecto (black flying fox). The record is from RNAcentral. Lineage: Eukaryota; Metazoa; Chordata; Mammalia; Chiroptera; Pteropodidae.
GUCUACAGCUAUACCACCCUGAACAUGCCGUCUCAUCUGAUCUCGGAAGCUAAGCAGGGUCGGGCCUGGUUAAUACUUGGAUGGGAGACCACCUAGGAAGACCAGGUGCCGUAGGUG